RNAcentral lists this long non-coding RNA (421 nucleotides) under Vombatus ursinus (common wombat). Its description in RNAcentral is "lncRNA (ENSVURG00010024457.1)". The record is from RNAcentral. Lineage: Eukaryota; Metazoa; Chordata; Mammalia; Diprotodontia; Vombatidae.
CCUACAUAAGGCAGCCUCCCAGGCUCCUGUGAGCUCAGGACACCUGCUACCUUCCAUUGGAAUCUUUCAGUUUCAGCUUCAACUAGAGGUAAAGAAGUCUGAUCAUGAGGCCUCUUGGCAUCGUCCUGCUGCUCUCCCUGACUCUAUGCUGCUUCUUGUAUGCUGCACGAGCUGAAGUCCGAAAUCCUGUCUGCUAUGACAUGCCAGGAUGCACCAAAGAAUAUAGCCCUGUCUGUGGCACCAAUGGAAAGACUUAUGGCAAUGAAUGCCUGCUAUGUCAGGAAAAUAAAUUAAGAGAUGUUCAUAUCCGAAUCAGAAAAGAAGGGAGGUGCUGAGGAACCACGAUAUCCUUCAUCCCAGUAGGACAGCAUCAUAGCUGGCCAGCCUGAUUCUUCAAUAAAUACAUAAGAUUGAUUCCUGC